GCCCUUUUCCGGUUGAUCCUGCCGGAGGCCAUUGCUAUUGGAGUCCGAUUUAGCCAUGCUAGUUGUGCGAGUUCAGACUCGCAGCAAAUAGCUCAGUAACACGUGGCCAAACUACCCUCUGGAGCGCAAUAACCUCGGGAAACUGAGGCUAAUGGCGCAUACCGCUCGAUGCCUGGAACUGGCUCGAGCACUAAAUGCCCCGGCGCCAGAGGAUGUGGCUGCGGCCGAUUAGAUAGACGGUGGGGUAACGGCCCACCGUGCCGAUAAUCGGUACGGGUUGUGAGAGCAAGAGCCCGGAGACGGUAUCUGAGACAAGAUACCGGGCCCUACGGGGCGCAGCAGGCGCGAAACCUUUACACUGCACGACAGUGCGAUAAGGGGACUCCAAGUGCGAGGGCAUAACGUCCUCGCUUUUCAUGACCGUAAGAAGGUCUUAGAAUAAGGGCUGGGCAAGACCGGUGCCAGCCGCCGCGGUAAUACCGGCAGCCCAAGUGAUGGCCGCUCUUAUUGGGCCUAAAGCGUCCGUAGCUGGCCGCGCAAGUCUAUCGGGAAAUCUGCCCGCCUAACGGGCAGGCGUCCGGUGGAAACUGCACGGCUUGGGACCGGAAGAUCCA
RNAcentral lists this ribosomal RNA (614 nucleotides) under uncultured archaeon. RNAcentral describes it as "bacterial SSU rRNA". It matches the Rfam family "Archaeal small subunit ribosomal RNA", at positions 1 to 610 of the family's 1478-position model. The record is from RNAcentral.